RNAcentral lists this ribosomal RNA (1108 nucleotides) under Enterococcus hirae. Its description in RNAcentral is "partial 23S ribosomal RNA". It matches the Rfam family "Bacterial large subunit ribosomal RNA", at positions 417 to 1526 of the family's 2925-position model. Lineage: Bacteria; Bacillati; Bacillota; Bacilli; Lactobacillales; Enterococcaceae. The record is from RNAcentral.
GCGGAACACGAGGAAUUCCGUCGGAAUCCGGGAGGACCAUCUCCCAAGGCUAAAUACUCCCUAGUGACCGAUAGUGAACCAGUACCGUGAGGGAAAGGUGAAAAGCACCCCGGAAGGGGAGUGAAAUAGAACCUGAAACCGUGUGCCUACAACAAGUCAAAGCCCGUUAAUGGGUGAUGGCGUGCCUUUUGUAGAAUGAACCGGCGAGUUACGAUUGCAUGCGAGGUUAAGUUGAAGAGACGGAGCCGCAGCGAAAGCGAGUCUGAAUAGGGCGUUUGAGUAUGUAGUCGUAGACCCGAAACCAUGUGAUCUACCCAUGUCCAGGUUGAAGGUGCGGUAAAACGCACUGGAGGACCGAACCCACGUACGUUGAAAAGUGCGGGGAUGAGGUGUGGGUAGCGGAGAAAUUCCAAACGAACUUGGAGAUAGCUGGUUCUCUCCGAAAUAGCUUUAGGGCUAGCCUCGGAAUUGAGAAUGAUGGAGGUAGAGCACUGUUUGGACUAGGGGCCCAUCUCGGGUUACCGAAUUCAGAUAAACUCCGAAUGCCAUUCAUUCAUAUCCGGGAGUCAGACUGUGAGUGAUAAGAUCCAUAGUCGAAAGGGAAACAGCCCAGACCACCAGCUAAGGUCCCAAAAUAUAUGUUAAGUGGAAAAGGAUGUGGGGUUGCACAGACAACUAGGAUGUUGGCUUAGAAGCAGCCACCAUUUAAAGAGUGCGUAAUAGCUCACUAGUCGAGUGACCCUGCGCCGAAAAUGUACCGGGGCUAAACAUAUUACCGAAGCUGUGGAGUACACCUUUAGGUGUAUUGGUAGGAGAGCGUUCUAAGGGCGUUGAAGGCAGAUCGUGAGGACUGCUGGAGCGCUUAGAAGUGAGAAUGCCGGUAUGAGUAGCGAAAGACAGGUGAGAAUCCUGUCCACCGAAUGACUAAGGUUUCCUGGGGAAGGCUCGUCCGCCCAGGGUUAGUCGGGACCUAAGCCGAGGCCGACAGGCGUAGGCGAUGGACAACAGGUUGAUAUUCCUGUACUCGUUGUUUUUGUUUGAGCAAUGGAGGGACGCAGGAGGCUAAGGAAUGCAGACGAUUGGAAAUGUCUGUCUAAGCAGUAAGUCU